This 126-nucleotide ribosomal RNA is filed under the name Bacillus sp. THAF10. Lineage: Bacteria; Bacillati; Bacillota; Bacilli; Caryophanales; Bacillaceae. The record is from RNAcentral.
GGACCGACCGAGCUGACGCAGAAAUGCGCCGCUCCUAUGAGGACGCCUAGAACACGGAAGUUAAGCUCUGCGGCGCCGAUGGUAGUUGGGGGCUGUCCCCCUGUGAGAGUAGGACGUUGCCAGGCA